CCCUUAGAUGUCCUGGGCCGCACGCGUGCUACACUGACGCAUACAGCGAGCACUUUCCAGUUCCGAGAGGCUACUGGUAAUCAUCAAUAUGCGUCGUGAUGGGGAUAGAUCUUUGGAAUUCUGGAUCUUGAACGAGGAAUGCCUAGUAAUCGCAGGUCAUUAGCCUGCGAUGAUUAAGUCCCUGCCCUUUGUACACACCGCCCGUCGCUACUACCGAUUUCGAGUGGUCAGGUGAAUCUUUCGGACUGUGGGCGCCCUUGAGGUGUUCGCGGAAAGUCAGGUAAACCUUAUCACUUAGAGGAAGUAAAAGUCGUAACA
This 318-nucleotide ribosomal RNA is filed under the name uncultured eukaryote. RNAcentral's name for it is "partial 18S ribosomal RNA". It matches the Rfam family "Eukaryotic small subunit ribosomal RNA", at positions 1470 to 1796 of the family's 1831-position model. The record is from RNAcentral.